GUUGCUGUGGCGCAAUCGGUUAGCGCGUUCGGCUGUUAACCGAAAGGUUGAUGGUUCGAAUCCAUCCAGAAAAG
RNAcentral lists this transfer RNA (74 nucleotides) under Dendronephthya gigantea. RNAcentral's name for it is "tRNA-Asn". It matches the Rfam family "tRNA". From Rfam's summary of the family: Transfer RNA (tRNA) molecules are approximately 80 nucleotides in length. Lineage: Eukaryota; Metazoa; Cnidaria; Anthozoa; Malacalcyonacea; Nephtheidae. The record is from RNAcentral.